CGGGGGAGCAAGCGUUGUUCGGAUUCAUUGGGCGUAAAGAGCUCGUAGGUGGCUUUGUAAGUCGGAGGUGAAAUCCCACGGCUCAACCGUGGACACGCCUUCGAUACUGUGAAGCUUGAGGCUGGGAGAGGGAAUCGGAAUUCCUGGUGUAGCGGUGAAAUGCGUAGAUAUCAGGAGGAACACCGGUGGCGAAGGCGGAUUCCUGGACCAGUUCUGACACUGAGGAGCGAAAGCUAGGGGAGCAAACAGGAUUAGAUACCCUGGUAGUCCUAGCUGUAAACGAUGGGCACUAGGUGUGGGGGGAUCGACCCCUUCCGUGCCGCAGUUAACGCAUUAAGUGCCCCGCCUGGGGAGUACGACCGCAAGGUUG
RNAcentral lists this ribosomal RNA (370 nucleotides) under uncultured organism. RNAcentral's name for it is "bacterial SSU rRNA". It matches the Rfam family "Bacterial small subunit ribosomal RNA", at positions 527 to 896 of the family's 1533-position model. The record is from RNAcentral.